Molecule: long non-coding RNA, 877 nt
Organism: Thamnophis elegans (Western terrestrial garter snake)
Lineage: Eukaryota; Metazoa; Chordata; Lepidosauria; Squamata; Natricidae
Exons: 3
Source: RefSeq, a predicted model, not a curated record
UAGGUAUAAUUUUAAACUUUCCUUCCCAGUGCCAUGGUAACUGCCGCAUGUUUGGCAAAAAGCUCCCGAAGAAGAAAAGGAACUCAGAGCACUCAGCUGGCAGGCAUCCAGUGUAAUCAGGCUGCAGAGCUGAAAUGAGGCCUCUGGCCGCCAGCCAAGUUACAAAGAACAAAGAUGUCAGUUCCUAAUGUUGGCGGCAAAGCUUGUUUGGCACCCUUAUAUGGUUUCCCAGAACUCCUUGCCUUGGCUGCUUUCCAUUCCCUUUAGGGCAGCAAACAGGAUUAGCACACACAGACUUGUUUUCUCUUUCUCCACCAACUGUUCCAAUGACAUCAUCCCUGCAUUCAUUUGCCAGCAGAGUGACUCUGGCUCCCUUUACACUCUUUGACAUCCCCUCCUCCUCCUCCAAACCCUUUAGUAUUUUAGCUUAUUUCCUCUCAGCUAAUGGAAAACUUGGAGAAAGCCCCCAGGUGCCAAAUAAAGGGGGAAUCGAAUGGGAAUGAGACAUUUCUAUACCUAAGCAAAUCAAGACCCUGUUAAAUGUAUUAGACCGGGCGGGGCAAAUAUUAUGCCAGAGUUAAAAGGACAGGGCUAUCUGCCAUUCCACAUCUGAGAAAGGAUCAUGUUGGACAUGAGUCAGAACUAAUGAAUAUGGAAAACCUAUGGCCAGCUUCAUGUUUUGAUUUCAUCAGCUUCAGAGUGAAACAAAUUAGUCAAGAGGCCAGAGGCGCAAGCCAGCUGAGGGAUUUUUUGUUGUUUUGGCAAGUCAUGCUCAUAAGAGGACAUCCCAUUCCCCCGCCCACCAUUCAGCAAGAAGGAAGGAAUGUGAAUUUCAUCUGCAUGGUACAAAAACUGUCAAUAGAACCUGAUCCUAUGA